RNAcentral lists this ribosomal RNA (254 nucleotides) under uncultured stramenopile. RNAcentral describes it as "partial 18S ribosomal RNA". It matches the Rfam family "Eukaryotic small subunit ribosomal RNA", at positions 68 to 319 of the family's 1831-position model. The record is from RNAcentral.
AACNACUCUAUACUGUGNAACUGCGAAUGGCUCAUUAUAUCAGUUAUAGUUUAUUUGAUAGUACCUUACUACUUGGAUAACCGUAGUAAUUCUAGAGCUAAUACAUGCAUCAAAUCCCGACUUUUGGAAGGGAUGUAUUUAUUAGAUUGAAACCAAUGCAGGGGCAACCCUGGUAUUGUGGUGAGUCAUAAUAACUGUGCGGAUCGCAUGGCCUCGUGCCGGCGACAGAUCAUUCAAGNUUCUGCCCUAUCAGC